RNAcentral lists this long non-coding RNA (1429 nucleotides) under Homo sapiens (human). RNAcentral describes it as "LHRI_LNC1384.1". The record is from RNAcentral. Lineage: Eukaryota; Metazoa; Chordata; Mammalia; Primates; Hominidae.
AAUACCCUUACAGAUUGCAUCUGCAUUAAGACUUAAGGUCUCAACUUGUUGAUUCUUUGCUAGGGAUUCUUAUCACAAUACAAAGAAUUUACUGCCAUUGAUUGCAUCCGAAUGGACAGACACACACAGAUGCACAUUUCAUGGGAGUGUUUCUCUCAUAAGCAGAGAGAACCCUUCUCAGCCUGAAUUCCUUGACUUGCAAGUCUGUGUGGGAUUCAGGAUUACAGAUUUAAUGACCGAAACAUAAUAGGGUCUGAGAGGCGGGAUCUACAGCAGAGCUGUGGGCAAAACUGCUGGAACCAGGCAGGUCCUACCUCCACGACACAGCAUAGAGGGUGACGUGUCUGAGGGCACACAGGCUCUGGUUAGGCUUUGUGGAAUUCUGACCUCAAUGAGUCACUGAAUUGUUGAGAUUGCCCUGGUAAGUCAGAUCUUGAUUCAGUUUCUCCAUGGGUAAAUUGGGAGCAAAUAUACUGGCUGUUUAACUUCCCUUAGGGUAGGUGUGGUCUUAAAAUAGCUUCUCCAAGUUGAGGCAGUUGGUGGGUGUGACUGUCAUUUCUGUGGGAUGGAGGAGUUGCAGCCUUCCCGUGAGAUCAGUGCCCUGGCAUGGCUGAAGUGACAUGGAGAGGCCAGGAGGCAGCCUGGCAGGAAGGGUGGCAUCCCCCAAAGGGAGGGAAGAGGGAAGCUGGAGAGGUGUGGCCGACCCUUCCCAGAGAGACUUCAUGACACUGGCAUUCCCCAGGGGCAGUGUGUGGCUCUGUGAAUGUUCCAGACAUUAGCCAGGGCAGUUGAAGCCGCCCUUUAUGCCAUACGUGGAACUGUGCUUUAGGAAGUGGCUUAGUUGGUGGAAUAAUCAUUGCUGAACCACAAUGCAACCACAAAUGCCAGCAAGUGUGCACCUUCUUUCCUGGUGAGUGCAAUAGUCAGCCACAUCCUUCUGGACCAGCCCGGCCUUGUUUCCUAACUGGGUGGGCCCUGCUUUGAUGACAGGUGCAUUCCUAGAGGUACUGUCUUCCUGCAGAGUUUUACGUAAUGCAACGCCAAGAACGCUUUGAUGGUGUGGGCUCUUACUGUCAUUGAAACAUCCCAACGAACUCUCAGGGCAGCAUUGAGUGAGAGCAAUGGCUUGGGAGACCCUUCGUCAUCUGGUUGGGCUGGUGUGUUUGCUGCCCUUGGAAAUUCUCUCAGCAUUUCCGCUGUUUGUCUCCUCAGCAAGCUUAUUUAUGUCUUUAUACAUACACUCAGGGGACCUAAAAAUAAUGUUUCUCAUUUCAAUCAAUCUUCCUCAUCCUCAACAUCUCGUUCAAGCCACACCUCUAUCUUCCGUCCUCCCCGACAGCUUCAGGAUUUUUCUCUGAGCUCAUAGCAUUCAGAGUCAUUUCACACACAUAAUGGUCUUGAGUUGCCUGUCAUUUUUAGGUUCUGAGUC